Non-coding RNA from Lolium perenne, 819 nucleotides. The record is from RefSeq and is a predicted model, not a curated record. Lineage: Eukaryota; Viridiplantae; Streptophyta; Magnoliopsida; Poales; Poaceae.
UACAUAUACUGUGAGGUGUGAGCGGGACCUAACCCUAAUUCCCCACCUCCAUCUCCAUCAUCGCCCCGUCGCCGGGUAGAAGAACAUCGACACCCAAGACUCCUCCGCCCCGUCUCCUUCGAUCUUUGACGACACUCACCUGUCGCCCCGUUAAGAUGUGGAGAUGUCGGAGGGCCGCAGGAUCUGCUGCGGCGUGUGGUCGCGGGAGGCGGAUCUCGCAGGGCUCGAGAGGCGGGCAGGACAGCCGCCGCGGGGAUCUUCCGGAGCCAGCGCACCGGCAGCGUGUGCGCCACUGCCCGAGGGCUAUGUGUUGUGGGUGUUCACGAAGCAGGGAGUGCAGCCACAGGAGCUAGCCAAUAUCUCAAAUGAGGAUCAGCGGCGGCUCACACUCUGACAUCCUGCCCGUCUUGCCUGAUGUUGAUGGCACUAGGGAGCAGUACAAGGAGAGAAGGAAGAGUCGGUGCUACUCCUGCUGCACCACAUGGCCAGGUGGUGGUAGGUAGCCAGCCGCUGGGACGUGAUGCCAGAGUAAGCGGUGCACACGGUGAGCAAUCGGCAGGUUGUUGUGGCGUUGAUGGAGGGAAGAAGAUAUCUACAUUUGCCUACGAGAGGUCAGAUAAUGCAGCAGAAAGGGCCCUAUAGGUUGGGAGAGGUCCUGAUGAUGCAGCAGCAAGAAUGGACUUGCAGGUCCGGCUGUCUGGAAGUUGUUGCAUUGUUUAUCAUUCUUUCUUUGACUCAUAUUGUUCUUACAUGGGUUCAUUUUGUGGUAGAUUUAGCUGGCAGUGUUUGAUAGCUGGAAUAUUGUAAUAGACUUAAUAA